UUCUUAUCGAGAGAAGCCGAGGGAAAGGCCCUACGACGCUUCAGCAACCUCUUGCCUAGGCAAGAAAGGUGCUAAUUCCUAUGAGAUAAGAG
Molecule: non-coding RNA, 92 nt
Organism: Lysinibacillus sp. BF-4
Lineage: Bacteria; Bacillati; Bacillota; Bacilli; Caryophanales; Bacillaceae
Source: Rfam